GACGAACGCUGGCGGCGUGCUUAACACAUGCAAGUCGAACGGAAAGGCCCUGCUUUUGUGGGGUGCUCGAGUGGCGAACGGGUGAGUAACACGUGAGUAACCUGCCCUUGACUUUGGGAUAACUUCAGGAAACUGGGGCUAAUACCGGAUAGGAGCUCCUGCUGCAUGGUGGGGGUUGGAAAGUUUCGGCGGUUGGGGAUGGACUCGCGGCUUAUCAGCUUGUUGGUGGGGUAGUGGCUUACCAAGGCUUUGACGGGUAGCCGGCCUGAGAGGGUGACCGGCCACAGUGGGACUGAGGUACGGCCCAGACUCCUACGGGAGGCAGCAGUGGGGAAUAGUGCACAAUGGGCGGAAGCCUGAUGCAGCAACGCCGCGUGCGGGAUGACGGCCUUCGGGUUGUAAACCGCUUUCGCCUGUGACGAAGCGUGAGUGACGGUAAUGGGUAAAGAAGCACCGGCUAACUACGUG
RNAcentral lists this ribosomal RNA (468 nucleotides) under uncultured bacterium. RNAcentral describes it as "partial 16S ribosomal RNA". It matches the Rfam family "Bacterial small subunit ribosomal RNA", at positions 28 to 507 of the family's 1533-position model. The record is from RNAcentral.